This 407-nucleotide ribosomal RNA is filed under the name uncultured bacterium. Its description in RNAcentral is "partial 16S ribosomal RNA". It matches the Rfam family "Bacterial small subunit ribosomal RNA", at positions 30 to 526 of the family's 1533-position model. The record is from RNAcentral.
AUUGAACGCUGUCGGCAGGCCUAACACAUCCAAGUCGAGCGGAGCGGUGGACGGGUGAGUAAUGCCUCGGCAUCUGCCUGGUUGUGGGGGAACACGUCCGGAAACGGGCGCUAAUAUCGCAUCCUAUCCGAUGAGCCUAGGUCGGAUUAGCUAGUUGGUGGGGUAAAGGGCUACCAAGGCGACGAUCCGUAACUGGUCUGAGAGGAUGAUCAGUCACACUGGAACUGAGACACGGUCCAGACGUGUACGGGAGGCAGCAGUGGCGAAUAUUGGACAAUGGGCGAAAGCCUGAUCCAGCCAUGCCGCGUGUGUGAAGAAGGUCUUCGGGUGGUAAAGCACUUUAAGUAGGGAGGCGUUACCGACAGAAUAAGCAACGGCUAACUUCGUGCCAGCCGCCGCGGUAAUUC